UCGAACGGUAAACAGGUCUUCGGACGCUGACGAGUGGCGAACGGGUGAGUAAUACAUCGGAACGUGCCCAGUCGUGGGGGAUAACUACUCGAAAGAGUAGCUAAUACCGCAUACGAUCUGAGGAUGAAAGCGGGGGACCUUCGGGCCUCGCGCGAUUGGAGCGGCCGAUGGCAGAUUAGGUAGUUGGUGGGAUAAAAGCUUACCAAGCCGAGGAUCUGUAGCUGGUCUGAGAGGACGACCAGCCACACUGGGACUGAGACACGGCCCAGACUCCUACGGGAGGCAGCAGUGGGGAAUUUUGGAUAAU
Molecule: ribosomal RNA, 307 nt
Filed under: Delftia tsuruhatensis
Lineage: Bacteria; Pseudomonadati; Pseudomonadota; Betaproteobacteria; Burkholderiales; Comamonadaceae
Description: bacterial SSU rRNA
Rfam family: Bacterial small subunit ribosomal RNA
Source: RNAcentral